RNAcentral lists this ribosomal RNA (446 nucleotides) under uncultured organism. RNAcentral's name for it is "partial 16S ribosomal RNA". It matches the Rfam family "Bacterial small subunit ribosomal RNA", at positions 335 to 797 of the family's 1533-position model. The record is from RNAcentral.
ACUCCUACGGGAGGCAGCAGUGGGGAAUAUUGGACAAUGGGCGCAAGCCUGAUCCAGCCAUGCCGCGUGAGUGAUGAAGGCCCUAGGGUUGUAAAGCUCUUUCACCGGUGAAGAUAAUGACGGUAACCGGAGAAGAAGCCCCGGCUAACUUCGUGCCAGCAGCCGCGGUAAUACGAAGGGGGCUAGCGUUGUUCGGAUUUACUGGGCGUAAAGCGCACGUAGGCGGACUAUUAAGUCAGGGGUGAAAUCCCGGGGCUCAACCCCGGAACUGCCUUUGAUACUGGUAGUCUUGAGUUCGAGAGAGGUGGGUGGAAUUCCGAGUGUAGAGGUGAAAUUCGUAGAUAUUCGGAGGAACACCAGUGGCGAAGGCGGCUCACUGGCUCGAUACUGACGCUGAGGUGCGAAAGCGUGGGGAGCAAACAGGAUUAGAAACCCUUGUAGUCCCA